ACAUGGUAUUAGCACAUAUGCAUUUCUUUCCAUCUGACAGGAUUUUACGACCCGAAGGCCUUCAUCAUCCACGCGGCGUCGCUGCGUCAGGGUUGCCCCCAUUGCGCAAUAUUCCUCACUGCUGCCUCCCGUAGG
This 135-nucleotide ribosomal RNA is filed under the name uncultured bacterium. RNAcentral describes it as "partial 16S ribosomal RNA". The record is from RNAcentral.